UUAAAAUUUCAGUGUAUUUGUAUAUAAACACACACCAUACAUGUCUGCAAGACAGUAUUUUUUGUACUGAGGUUAGUUUAUUGUUUUCUCACAGCCAAAGCAGAACCAAGAGGGAAAAGGAAUGUUUUCAAUAGUUCAAAAGAUUGACUCUUAUCUCACAGUAUGAACAUGACCAGUGGCUACAGUUCCCUCUGUUGGCUUCACUGUGAGAGACCACAUGAGGUGUUUUGCACAGGCUGUCCACAGCACUGACUGCGUUUUGGCACCAAGUACCUGUGGAGAAAGAAGACAACAUUUGCAGAGAACUUUUAAAACUUUAAAACAUUUGGGAGAGCCGCUGCCAGAGGGCGCUGCUGGCCAGCCCAGACAUGGCCAC
Passer domesticus (house sparrow) is the source of this 376-nucleotide long non-coding RNA. RefSeq lists it as uncharacterized. The transcript has 3 exons. The record is from RefSeq and is a predicted model, not a curated record. Lineage: Eukaryota; Metazoa; Chordata; Aves; Passeriformes; Passeridae.